UACGGGGGGGGCAAGCGUUGUUCGGAAUUACUGGGCGUAAAGGGCGCGUAGGCGGCUCGCUAAGUCGGAUGUGAAAACUCUGGGCUCAACCCAGAGCCUGCAUUCGAAACUGACGAGCUCGAGUUCUGGAAGGGAAAGCGGAAUUCCUGGUGUAGCGGUGAAAUGCGUAGAUAUGACAUAGAACACCAAUUGCGAAGGCAGCUCGCUACACAUAUAUUGACUCUGAGGCACGAAAGCGUGGGGAUCAAACAGG
Molecule: ribosomal RNA, 253 nt
Filed under: uncultured bacterium
Lineage: Bacteria
Description: partial 16S ribosomal RNA
Rfam family: Bacterial small subunit ribosomal RNA
Source: RNAcentral